GGAUUUUUCUGAUCUUCUCUUAGGGUUUGAAUCAUUUAGAUUGAAAAUCACUAUCAGUGUAUCACCAUCUCUAUCAGAAUUGUGAUUUGAUCUAUAUGUUCAGUGGCGUGAAGAAGUGAAGAUGACCACAUCAAAUGAAACUCCAACUACAAAUGCAACUGCAACUCCAACUACAAGUACAACUCAACAAACAGAAGUUGGAUCAUCCUCUCAAGCUGCAUCUCACACAAAUGAAUCUGAAACUGCAACUCCAACAAGUAAAGGAAGAG
Molecule: long non-coding RNA, 269 nt
Organism: Papaver somniferum (opium poppy)
Lineage: Eukaryota; Viridiplantae; Streptophyta; Magnoliopsida; Ranunculales; Papaveraceae
Exons: 3
Source: RefSeq, a predicted model, not a curated record